This 27-nucleotide non-coding RNA is filed under the name Bombyx mori (domestic silkworm). The record is from RNAcentral. Lineage: Eukaryota; Metazoa; Arthropoda; Insecta; Lepidoptera; Bombycidae.
UAAGAUGUCUAUGGCUUCAGCGGUAUC